RNAcentral lists this unclassified non-coding RNA (239 nucleotides) under Hevea brasiliensis (rubber tree). The record is from RNAcentral. Lineage: Eukaryota; Viridiplantae; Streptophyta; Magnoliopsida; Malpighiales; Euphorbiaceae.
GGAUCAACAAAGAUACAAUUUGUCUUUCCCCUCUCAAUUUACGUCACCCAAACCUAGAGGCCCCCAUUUUAAACAAAAUCAAAUCCAAUCCUUUACAAAUCAAACAGAAGCCCAUGAAAUCCCACAUCGACCAGAUUCCCCCUAGGUCAAUUCACAUAGGUAUAUAAACAUACUUGAAAACAAAGAAGCGAUUACAGGGAUUGAUAGCUAAAGACUUACUGAAGAGUGGGAACAAUGCC